RNAcentral lists this ribosomal RNA (402 nucleotides) under uncultured bacterium. RNAcentral's name for it is "bacterial SSU rRNA". It matches the Rfam family "Bacterial small subunit ribosomal RNA", at positions 355 to 746 of the family's 1533-position model. The record is from RNAcentral.
UGGGGAAUAUUGCGCAAUGGGGGAAACCCUGACGCAGCGACGCCGUGUGAGGGAAGAAGGCCUUCGGGUCGUAAACCUCUGUCGGGAGGGAAGAACCGCCGGUUUCCGAACAGGGAGCCGGUCUGACGGUACCUCCGAAGGAAGCGCCGGCUAACUCCGUGCCAGCAGCCGCGGUAAUACGGAGGGCGCGAGCGUUAAUCGGGAAUCACUGGGCGUAAAGCGCGCGUAGGCGGCUUGAUAAGUCGGGCGUGAAAGCCCUCGGCCCAACCGAGGAACUGGCGUUCGAUACUGUUAGGCUUGAGUCCUGGAGAGGGUGGCGGAAUUCCGGGUGUAGGAGUGAAAUCCGUAGAUAUCCGGAGGAACACCGGUGGCGAAGGCGGCCACCUGGACAGGUACUGACGC